GAUAUGUGAAUACAUAGCAUAUCAGAAGGCACACCCGGAGAACUGAAACAUCUUAGUACCCGGAGGAAGAGAAAGAAAAUUCGAUUCCCUUAGUAGCGGCGAGCGAAACGGGAAGAGCCCAAACCAACAAGCUUGCUUGUUGGGGUUGUAGGACACUCUAUACGGAGUUACAAAGGACGACAUUAGACGAAUCAUCUGGAAAGAUGAAUCAAAGAAGGUAAUAAUCCUGUAGUCGAAAAUGUUGUCUCUCUUGAGUGGAUCCUGAGUACGACGGAGCACGUGAAAUUCCGUCGGAAUCUGGGAGGACCAUCUCCUAAGGCUAAAUACUCUCUAGUGACCGAUAGUGAACCAGUACCGUGAGGGAAAGGUGAAAAGCACCCCGGAAGGGGAGUGAAAUAGAACCUGAAACCGUGUGCUUACAAGUAGUCAGAGCCCGUUAAUGGGUGAUGGCGUGCCUUUUGUAGAAUGAACCGGCGAGUUACGAUUUGAUGCAAGGUUAAGCAGUAAAUGUGGAGCCGUAGCGAAAGCGAGUCUGAAUAGGGCGUUUAGUAUUUGGUCGUAGACCCGAAACCAGGUGAUCUACCCUUGGUCAGGUUGAAGUUCAGGUAACACUGAAUGGAGGACCGAACCGACUUACGUUGAAAAGUGAGCGGAUGAACUGAGGGUAGCGGAGAAAUUCCAAUCGAACCUGGAGAUAGCUGGUUCUCUCCGAAAUAGCUUUAGGGCUAGCCUCAAGUGAUGAUUAUUGGAGGUAGAGCACUGUUUGGACGAGGGGCCCCUCUCGGGUUACCGAAUUCAGACAAACUCCGAAUGCCAAUUAAUUUAACUUGGGAGUCAGAACAUGGGUGAUAAGGUCCGUGUUCGAAAGGGAAACAGCCCAGACCACCAGCUAAGGUCCCAAAAUAUAUGUUAAGUGGAAAAGGAUGUGGCGUUGCCCAGACAACUAGGAUGUUGGCUUAGAAGCAGCCAUCAUUUAAAGAGUGCGUAAUAGCUC
RNAcentral lists this ribosomal RNA (994 nucleotides) under Staphylococcus aureus. RNAcentral's name for it is "partial 23S ribosomal RNA". It matches the Rfam family "Bacterial large subunit ribosomal RNA", at positions 153 to 1143 of the family's 2925-position model. The record is from RNAcentral. Lineage: Bacteria; Bacillati; Bacillota; Bacilli; Caryophanales; Staphylococcaceae.